GGUUAAGCGACUAAGCGUACACGGUGGAUGCCCUGGCAGUCAGAGGCGAUGAAGGACGUGCUAAUCUGCGAUAAGCGUCGGUAAGGUGAUAUGAACCGUUAUAACCGGCGAUUUCCGAAUGGGGAAACCCAGUGUGAUUCGUCACACUAUCAUUAACUGAAUCCAUAGGUUAAUGAGGCGAACCGGGGGAACUGAAACAUCUAAGUACCCCGAGGAAAAGAAAUCAACCGAGAUUCCCCCAGUAGCGGCGAGCGAACGGGGAGCAGCCCAGAGUCUGAAUCAGUGUGUGUGUUAGUGGAAGCGUCUGGAAAGGCGCGCGAUACAGGGUGACAGCCCCGUACACAAAAAUGCACAUGCUGUGAGCUCGAUGAGUAGGGCGGGACACGUGGUAUCCUGUCUGAAUAUGGGGGGACCAUCCUCCAAGGCUAAAUACUCCUGACUGACCGAUAGUGAACCAGUACCGUGAGGGAAAGGCGAAAAGAACCCCGGCGAGGGGAGUGAAAAAGAACCUGAAACCGUGUACGUACAAGCAGUGGGAGCACGCUUAGGCGUGUGACCGCGUACCUUUUGUAUAAUGGGUCAGCGACUUAUAUUCUGUAGCAAGGUUAACCGAAUAGGGGAGCCGAAGGGAAACCGAGUCUUAACUGGGCGUUAAGUUGCAGGGUAUAGACCCGAAACCCGGUGAUCUAGCCAUGGGCAGGUUGAAGGUUGGGUAACACUAACUGGAGGACCGAACCGACUAAUGUUGAAAAAUUAGCGGAUGACUUGUGGCUGGGGGUGAAAGGCCAAUCAAACCGGGAGAUAGCUGGUUCUCCCCGAAAGCUAUUUAGGUAGC
This 835-nucleotide ribosomal RNA is filed under the name Escherichia coli. RNAcentral describes it as "partial 23S ribosomal RNA". It matches the Rfam family "Bacterial large subunit ribosomal RNA", at positions 1 to 878 of the family's 2925-position model. The record is from RNAcentral. Lineage: Bacteria; Pseudomonadati; Pseudomonadota; Gammaproteobacteria; Enterobacterales; Enterobacteriaceae.